GACGAACGCUGGCGGCGUGCCUAAUACAUGCAAGUUGAGCGCUGAAGGUUGGUACUUGUACCGACUGGAUGAGCAGCGAACGGGUGAGUAACGCGUGGGGAAUCUGCCUUUGAGCGGGGGACAACAUUUGGAAACGAAUGCUAAUACCGCAUAAAAACUUUAAACACAAGUUUUAAGUUUGAAAGAUGCAAUUGCAUCACUCAAAGAUGAUCCCGCGUUGUAUUAGCUAGUUGGUGAGGUAAAGGCUCACCAAGGCGAUGAUACAUAGCCGACCUGAGAGGGUGAUCGGCCACAUUGGGACUGAGACACGGCCCAAACUCCUACGGGAGGCAGCAGUAGGGGAUCUUCGGCAAUAGACGAAAGUCUGACCGAGCAACGCCGCGUGAGUGAAGAAGGUUUUCGGAUCGUAAAACUCUGUUGGUAGAGAAGAACGUUGGUGAGAGUGGAAAGCUCAUCAAGUGACGGUAACUACCCAGAAAGGGACGGCUAACUACGUG
Molecule: ribosomal RNA, 497 nt
Filed under: uncultured bacterium
Lineage: Bacteria
Description: partial 16S ribosomal RNA
Rfam family: Bacterial small subunit ribosomal RNA
Source: RNAcentral